Molecule: ribosomal RNA, 548 nt
Filed under: Cacodacnus hebridanus
Lineage: Eukaryota; Metazoa; Arthropoda; Insecta; Coleoptera; Cerambycidae
Description: partial 16S ribosomal RNA
Source: RNAcentral
UAAAAAAAUUCUAUAAAUAUAGGGUUCCCGAAUUUAGAAGGGCUAAAUUUGUAUAAGUGUUAUUGUUGCAUAAAUAUUCAAAAUAUAAAUUUAGUAAUGAAACGUUAUUCGUUUCUAAAUAUAUCUGGUUUUUUAAGAAAUAAAUUUAAUUUACUUGACUAGGAUUAAGGUUUUAAUUUAUAAAUUACUUGAUAGAGUUAGGGUAUAUAUUUGGGGAUGAGCUCGAAUAUAAAUUAUUAAAAAUGAUGUAUUUUUUCUUUGAUUUAUAGGAUUAGAAGUUUCCAUUAUUAAAAGAGUGUUAUAACUAAUUUGUUAUAAAAAAUUAUUUAUAUUUAUUUUAAUUUUUUUAUUAAAAUUUAUUUGUGAAUUUGAUUAAUUUAGUAAUAAUGAUAGAAUUAGUAUAGGUUUCUGUAUUUUUAAUAAUAAUUUUUAGGUUAGUCAAAGGAACUCGGCAAAAUAUUUUUCACCUGUUUAUUAAAAACAUGGCCUUUUGUUUAAAAUUUAAGGUCUAUCCUGCCCACUGAGUAGUUAAAUGGCUGCGGUAAUCU